Molecule: ribosomal RNA, 460 nt
Filed under: uncultured bacterium
Lineage: Bacteria
Description: partial 16S ribosomal RNA
Rfam family: Bacterial small subunit ribosomal RNA
Source: RNAcentral
CCUACGGGAGGCAGCAGUGAGGAAUAUUGGUCAAUGGACGAGAGUCUGAACCAGCCAAGUAGCGUGAAGGAUGACUGCCCUAUGGGUUGUAAACUUCUUUUAUAUGGGAAUAAAACGUUCCACGUGUGGGAUUUUGUAUGUACCAUAUGAAUAAGGAUCGGCUAACUCCGUGCCAGCAGCCGCGGUAAUACGGAGGAUCCGAGCGUUAUCCGGAUUUAUUGGGUUUAAAGGGAGAGUAGGUGGAUUGUUAAGUCAGUUGUGAAAGUUUGCGGCUCAACCGUAAAAUUGCAGUUGAAACUGGCAGUCUUGAGUACAGUAGAGGUGGGCGGAAUUCGUGGUGUAGCGGUGAAAUGCUUAGAUAUCACGAAGAACUCCGAUUGCGAAGGCAGUUCACUGGACUGCAACUGACACUGAGGCUCGAAAGUGUGGGUAUCAAACAGGAUUAGAUACCCCGGUAGUC